RNAcentral lists this transfer RNA (72 nucleotides) under Clostridioides difficile. RNAcentral's name for it is "tRNA-Asp(gtc)". It matches the Rfam family "tRNA". From Rfam's summary of the family: Transfer RNA (tRNA) molecules are approximately 80 nucleotides in length. Their secondary structure includes four short double-helical elements and three loops (D, anti-codon, and T loops). Lineage: Bacteria; Bacillati; Bacillota; Clostridia; Peptostreptococcales; Peptostreptococcaceae. The record is from RNAcentral.
GGCCUGGUAGUUCAGUUGGUUAGAAUGCCAGCCUGUCACGCUGGAGGUCGAGGGUUCGAACCCNCCUGCCUU